GAUGAAGAACGUAGCGAAAUGCGAAAAGUAAUGUGAAUUGCAGAAUUCAGUGAAUCAUCGAAUCUUUGAACGCACAUUGCGCCCGCCAGUAUUCUGGCGGGCAUGCCUGUCCGAGCGUCAUUUCAACCCUCGAACCCCUCCGGGGGGUCGGCGUUGGGGACCUCGGGAGCCCCUAAGACGGGAUCCCGGCCCCGAAAUACAGUGGCGGUCUCGCCGCAGCCUCUCCUGCGCAGUAGUUUGCACAACUCGCACCGGGAGCGCGGCGCGUCCACGUCCGUAAAACACCCAACUUCUGAAAUGUUGACCUCGGAUCAGGUAGGAAUACCCGCUGAACUUAAGCAUAUCAAUAAGCGGAGGA
This 358-nucleotide unclassified non-coding RNA is filed under the name soil metagenome. Its description in RNAcentral is "partial contains 5.8S ribosomal RNA, internal transcribed spacer 2, and large subunit ribosomal RNA". The stretch from base 1 to 120 matches the Rfam family "5.8S ribosomal RNA", at positions 35 to 154 of the family's 154-position model. The record is from RNAcentral.